Molecule: ribosomal RNA, 495 nt
Filed under: uncultured bacterium
Lineage: Bacteria
Description: partial 16S ribosomal RNA
Rfam family: Bacterial small subunit ribosomal RNA
Source: RNAcentral
GACGAACGCUGGCGGCGUGCCUAAUACAUGCAAGUAGAACGCUGAAGGAGGAGCUUGCUCUUCUGGAUGAGUUGCGAACGGGUGAGUAACGCGUAGGUAACCUGCCUGGUAGCGGGGGAUAACUAUUGGAAACGAUAGCUAAUACCGCAUAACAGUAGAUGUUGCAUGACAUUUACUUAAAAGGUGCAAUUGCAUCACUACCAGAUGGACCUGCGUUGUAUUAGCUAGUUGGUGGGGUAACGGCUCACCAAGGCGACGAUACAUAGCCGACCUGAGAGGGUGAUCGGCCACACUGGGACUGAGACACGGCCCAGACUCCUACGGGAGGCAGCAGUAGGGAAUCUUCGGCAAUGGACGGAAGUCUGACCGAGCAACGCCGCGUGAGUGAAGAAGGUUUUCGGAUCGUAAAGCUCUGUUGCAAGAGAAGAACGAGUGUGAGAGUGGAAAGUUCACACUGUGACGGUAGCUUACCAGAAAGGGACGGCUAACUACGUG